This 72-nucleotide transfer RNA is filed under the name Camelus bactrianus (Bactrian camel). It matches the Rfam family "tRNA". From Rfam's summary of the family: Transfer RNA (tRNA) molecules are approximately 80 nucleotides in length. Their secondary structure includes four short double-helical elements and three loops (D, anti-codon, and T loops). RNAcentral also lists the same sequence under 3 other names. The record is from Rfam by way of RNAcentral. Lineage: Eukaryota; Metazoa; Chordata; Mammalia; Artiodactyla; Camelidae.
GAGGGUAGAGCUCAGUGGUAGAGGGUGUGCUUAGCAUGCAUGAGGUCCUGGGUUCAAUCCCCAGUGCCUCCU